ACUCCUACGGGAGGCAGCAGUGGGGAAUAUUGCACAAUGGGGGAAACCCUGAUGCAGCCAUGCCGCGUGUGUGAAGAAGGCCUUCGGGUUGUAAAGCACUUUCAGUAGGGAGGAAGGUAGUGUAGUUAACACCUGCAUUAUUUGACGUUACCUACAGAAGAAGCACCGGCUAACUCCGUGCCAGCAGCCGCGGUAAUACGGAGGGUGCGAGCGUUAAUCGGAAUUACUGGGCGUAAAGCGCAUGCAGGCGGCCUGUUAAGUCAGAUGUGAAAGCCCGGGGCUUAACCUCGGAAUUGCAUUUGAAACUGGCAGGCUAGAGUCUUGGUAGAGGGGGGUAGAAUUUCAGGUGUAGCGGUGAAAUGCGUAGAGAUCUGAAGGAAUACCAGUGGCGAAGGCGGCCCCCUGGACAAAGACUGACGCUCAGAUGCGAAAGCGUGGGGAGCAAACAGGAUUAGAUACCCUGGUAGGAUAGCG
Molecule: ribosomal RNA, 474 nt
Filed under: uncultured bacterium
Lineage: Bacteria
Description: bacterial SSU rRNA
Rfam family: Bacterial small subunit ribosomal RNA
Source: RNAcentral